AUUGAACGCUGGCGGCAUGCCUUACACAGGCAAGUCGAACGGUAACAGGUCUUCGGAUGCUGACGAGUGGCGAACGGGUGAGUAAUACAUCGGAACGUGCCUAGUAGUGGGGGAUAACUACUCGAAAGAGUGGCUAAUACCGCAUGAGAUCUACGGAUGAAAGCAGGGGAUCGCAAGACCUUGUGCUACUAGAGCGGCCGAUGGCAGAUUAGGUAGUUGGUGGGAUAAAAGCUUACCAAGCCGACGAUCUGUAGCUGGUCUGAGAGGACGAUCAGCCACACUGGGACUGAGACACGGCCCAGACUCCUACGGGAGGCAGCAGUGGGGUAUUUUGGACAAUGGGCGAAAGCCUGAUCCAGCAAUGCCGCGUGCAGGAUGAAGGCCUUCGGGUUGUAAACUGCUUUUGUACGGAACGAAAAGCCCCGGGUUAAUACCCUGGGGUCAUGACGGUACCGUAAGAAUAAGCACCGGCUAACUACGUGCCAGCCGCCGCAGUAA
This 498-nucleotide ribosomal RNA is filed under the name uncultured bacterium. RNAcentral describes it as "partial 16S ribosomal RNA". It matches the Rfam family "Bacterial small subunit ribosomal RNA", at positions 30 to 523 of the family's 1533-position model. The record is from RNAcentral.